Molecule: non-coding RNA, 605 nt
Organism: Marmota monax (woodchuck)
Lineage: Eukaryota; Metazoa; Chordata; Mammalia; Rodentia; Sciuridae
Source: the annotation of a RefSeq genome assembly
GGAGCCCAGCCCUGGACUCCCAGCUCAGCCCACUCAGUGAUCAGGACUGAACACAGCUGCUCACCAUGGAGAGUGUGCUCAGCUGGGUUUUCCUGGUGGCUGUUUUCAAAGGUGUCCAGUGUGAGGUGCAGCUGGUGGAGUCUGGGGGAGGCCUGGUGCAGCCUGGGGGUUCCCUGCGACUCUCCUGUGCAGCCUCUGGAUUCACCUUCAGUAACUACUGGAUGAGCUGGGUCCGCCAGGCUCCAGGGAAGGGGCUGGAGUGGGUUGGAGAAAUUAACCCAAGUGGUGGUACAACAAACUAUGCCAACUCUGUGAAGGGCCGAUUCACCAUCUCCAGAGAGAACUCCAAGAACACACUGUACCUGCAAAUGAGCAGUCUGAGAGCUGAGGACACGGCCACCUAUUACUGUGCCAGAGACACAGUGAGGGGAUCUCAGUUUGAGCCCAGACACAAACCUCCUGCACGGUUCGGGCCUGUUUGCGACUUCGGAAAUCAGCUGGGCACACAUAAUAAUCAAGACUGGCUAGUCUACACCUAUGAUGAGGGCGAUGACAUCCAUAGUGCAUAUGUCCGCCUGGGGAACGCUACCCUAGUUUGGGGUUGA